AGCGAACGCUGGCGGCAGGCUUAACACGUGCAAGUCGAGCGGGCCCUUCGGGGUCAGCGGCAGACGGGUGAGUAACACGUGGGAACGUACCCUUUGGUUCGGAAUAACGCUGGGAAACUAGCGCUAAUACCGGAUACGCCCUUUUGGGGAAAGGCUUGCUGCCGAAGGAUCGGCCCGCGUCUGAUUAGCUAGUUGGUGGGGUAAUGGCCUACCAAGGCGACGAUCAGUAGCUGGUCUGAGAGGAUGAUCAGCCACACUGGGACUGAGACACGGCCCAGACUCCUACGGGAGGCAGCAGUGGGGAAUAUUGGACAAUGGGCGCAAGCCUGAUCCAGCCAUGCCGCGUGAGUGAUGAAGGCCUUAGGGUUGUAAAGCUCUUUUGUCCGGGACGAUAAUGACGGUACCGGAAGAAUAAGCCCCGGCUAACUUCGUG
RNAcentral lists this ribosomal RNA (433 nucleotides) under uncultured bacterium. Its description in RNAcentral is "partial 16S ribosomal RNA". It matches the Rfam family "Bacterial small subunit ribosomal RNA", at positions 29 to 507 of the family's 1533-position model. The record is from RNAcentral.